This 720-nucleotide ribosomal RNA is filed under the name Pseudogymnoascus sp. RNAcentral's name for it is "partial large subunit ribosomal RNA". It matches the Rfam family "Eukaryotic large subunit ribosomal RNA", at positions 83 to 824 of the family's 3401-position model. The record is from RNAcentral. Lineage: Eukaryota; Fungi; Ascomycota; Leotiomycetes; Thelebolales; Thelebolaceae.
GUAACGGCGAGUGAAGCGGUAACAGCUCAAAUUUGAAAUCUGGCCUCACGGUCCGAGUUGUAAUUUGUAGAGGAUGCUUCGAGCAUGGUCUGGCCUAAGUUCCUUGGAACAGGACGUCAUAGAGGGUGAGAAUCCCGUAUGCGGCCAGGUGCCUACGCUCAUGUGAAGCUCCUUCGACGAGUCGAGUUGUUUGGGAAUGCAGCUCAAAAUGGGUGGUAAAUUUCAUCUAAAGCUAAAUAUUGGCCAGAGACCGAUAGCGCACAAGUAGAGUGAUCGAAAGAUGAAAAGCACUUUGGAAAGAGAGUUAAACAGUACGUGAAAUUGUUGAAAGGGAAGCGCUUGCAACCAGACUUGCGCGCGGCUGAUCAUCCGGUGUUCUCACCGGUGCACUCGGCCGUGCUCAGGCCAGCAUCGGUUUUGGCGGCUGGAUAAAGGCCCUAGGAAUGUGGCUCCUCUCGGGGAGUGUUAUAGCCUAGGGUGCAAUGCAGCCUGCUGGGACCGAGGACCGCGCUUCGGCUAGGAUGCUGGCGUAAUGGUUGUAAGCGGCCCGUCUUGAAACACGGACCAAGGAGUCUAACAUCUAUGCGAGUGUUUGGGUGUCAAACCCAUACGCGUAAUGAAAGUGAACGGAGGUGAGAACCCUUAAGGGUGCAUCAUCGACCGAUCCUGAUGUCUUCGGAAGGAUUUGAGUAAGAGCAUAGCUGUUGGGACCCGAAAGAU